This 1472-nucleotide ribosomal RNA is filed under the name uncultured Bordetella sp. Its description in RNAcentral is "partial 16S-23S ribosomal RNA intergenic spacer". It matches the Rfam family "Bacterial small subunit ribosomal RNA". The record is from RNAcentral. Lineage: Bacteria; Pseudomonadati; Pseudomonadota; Betaproteobacteria; Burkholderiales; Alcaligenaceae.
GGUUUGAUCAUGGCUCGAUUGAACGCUGGCGGAUGCUUUACACAUGCAAGUCGAACGGCAGCACGGACUUCGGUCUGGUGGCGAGUAGCCCGAACAGGUGAGUAAUGUAUCGGAACGUGCCUAGUAGCGGGGGAUAACUACGCGAAAGCGUAGCUAAUACCGCAUACGCCCUUCGGGGAAAGCGGGGGACCUUCGGGCCUCGCACUAUUAGAGCAGCCGAUAUCGGAUUAGCUAGUUGGUGGGGGUAACGGCUCACCAAGGCGACGAUCCAUGUCAGCUGGAACGAGAGGACGACCAGCCACACUGGGACUGAGACACGGCCCAGACUCCUACAGGAGGCAGCAGUGAUUUUGGACAAUGGAAACCCUGAUCCAGCCAUCCCGCGUGUGCGAUGAAGGCCUUCCGGGUUGUAAAGCACUUUUGGCAGGGAGAAAACGGCACGGGAUAAUACCCGAUGCAACUGACGUACCUGCAGAACCAGCGCACCGGCUAACUACGUGCCAGCAGCCGCGGUAAUACGUAGGGUGCAAGCGUUAAUCGGAAUUACUGGGCGUAAAGCGUGCGCAGGCGGUUCGGAAAGAAGAUGUGAAAUCCCAGAGCUUAACUUUGGAACUGCAUUUUUAACUACCGAGCUAGAGUGUGUCAGAGGGAGGUGGAAUUCGCGUGUAGCAGUGAUGCGUAGAUAUGGGAGAGACUUGCACCAUUUGGCGAGGCAACCUCCUGGGAUAACACUGACGCUCAUGCACGAAAGCGUGGGAGCAAACAGGAUUAGAUACCUGGUAGUCCACGCCCUAAACGAUGUCAACUGGCUAUUUUGGGCCUUCGGGCCUUGGUAGCGCAGCUAACGCGUGAAGUUGACCGCCUGUGGGAGUACGGUCGCAAGAUUAAAACUCAAAGGGUGACGGGGACCCGCACAAGCGGUGGAUGAUGUGGAUUAAUUCGAUGCAACGCGAAAAACCUUACCUACCCUUGACAUGUCUGGAAUCCCGAAGAGAUUUAGGAGUGCUCGCAAGAGCAGAACACAGGUGCUGCAUGGCUGUCGUCAGCUCGUGUCGUGAGAUGUUGGGUUAAGUCCCGCAACGAGCGCAACCCUUGUCAUUAGUUGCUACGGGCACUCUAAUGAGACUGCCGGUGACAAACCGGAGGAAGGUGGGGAUGACGUCAAGUCCUCGCGGCCCGCGCCAUGGGUAGGGCUUCACACGUCAUACAAUGGUCGGGACAGAGGGUCGCCAACCCGCGAGGGGAACAAUCCGAAACCCGAUCGUAGUCGGAUCGCAGUCUGCAACUCGACUGCGUGAAGUCGGAAUCACGCUAGUAAUCGCGGAUCAGCAUGUCGCGGUGAAUACGUUCCCGGGUCUUGUACACCGCCCGUCACACCAUGGGAGUGGGUUUACCAGAAGUAGUUAGCCUAACCGUAAGGAGGGCGAUUACCACGAGUAGUUCAUGACUGGGGUGAAGUCGACUAACAGGUA